Molecule: long non-coding RNA, 1952 nt
Organism: Rhea pennata
Lineage: Eukaryota; Metazoa; Chordata; Aves; Rheiformes; Rheidae
Exons: 4
Source: RefSeq, a predicted model, not a curated record
GCGGCGAGCAGGGAGGGAGCUUUCGCGCGGCGGCGGCGGGCUGAGGCUCCCUGAGGCGGAGGAGCGGGGGGCGCCCGUGAGGCGAGCGCGCCCCUUCGGGUGGCCGCGGGUGUCGGGCUGCCGCCUGCUCGCUGAGGCCGUGGCUGCGCGGAGGCGGCGGUGCGGGGCUCGGGGCGGCGGGGGCUGGGGCCCAGCUCGGCCCCGCCGGGAGCGCCGGGCGGGAUCUGCGCGGCGCCGCGUGUGCCGCAGCGCGGGUCCGACCCCCCCUCGCCACGUGUCGCCUUUAGGGCCCCGGCUCCUGCCCAGCUGCUCGGGACGCAGCCCGGAGGAGCGGGGCCGCAGGCGGGCCCCGGAGCGCUGCUGAGUCCCGGGAGGCUUGAACCCUCUGCGCCAAAGCGGCCGAGGGAGAACUCGGGUCGGGCGCGAUGAGCGCAGCCCCAAGUCAUUCGCUUGAGAAGCGUGGCCGGGCAAGCGGGCGGAUGGGUAGAAGAAGGAGGCUCCCAGACGCCCUGAGGCCCCCCCCCCCCCUCCCCCAGCCAGGCACAGCCUGAGAAACGUUGACGGGUGACGGCACAGCUGCCAAACCGAUUUUUUCUCUCUCUUCGCCUGAGCCGCCUCUCGGAACUCUCUGUAGGCGCAAGAUGCGGCUGGUCUGGGAUAACUGCGCUGUGCGCAAUGCUUCAGGGGAGCGUUAACAUGAAACUGCAGGCUAAGGAGUCGCCUAGUAAAAUAAAAGGCUCGGGAAAAGCCUAAGAGAGCACUGAUGGGCCCUGGGAAGCCCCAGGGAUGCUACAGAAAAGAGCCUGGCUUUUUUCAGGCACCUCCUCAGAGCAGAGAAAUGGCUUACCCCGGCCUGCGGGAGAAUGGGUGCUAUUAAUAACAGCCUUUCCUUACCACGGGCAUUGCGAAAGCAGAAGGGACUAGAGAGGACGCGUAGCAGGUUAUGGACUCUCUGCAAAGUUUAAGCGAACAACAGUCCCCUCUUAAAGUAGAACCGGUUUUGUCCUAAGUAAUAGAUGAACGUGGCUGUGAGUAACGUGAAGAGAAGCGGUUGCGUCUGUCACCCUUGGGGCCUCGGGGAAGUAGCGUCUAAAACCUGGUACCCUCGUGGCCUCGUUAGCCUUCUCGGUCUGUCUGGCAGGGUAGUCCCCGGAAGGGGGCAUCUCCAAGAGAAGCGGCUAGACCCAGCGACCCAGCCGUUCGCUUUGGUCGCCGCCUGUGAGGCGAGCAUCCGAGCGCAACGGGAGUCCGGGAGCUGUAUCGAGAAGAGCUGGAACCAACGACAGCAAAUGCUGACGGAGAGGGAAGCCGGACGAGCGGCAUGUAGGGGAUUAAUACCUAAGGGACGGGGUUGAAACGAGGAGGCAGAAACGCAGCGGACCCUCGGUAUCCCCAGCAGCUGCCACGGUAGCGGCAGGUGUUCCGCCACGGGCAAGUCAAGCAGGGAACGACGACGGGCUGUCGUGAAGAACUACAGGCUGCCGCCCUCCGACCUCGGCAGGUGAUGCGACGAGAGCAGCCGGGAGAAUCCGAAUGCCGGUUUUGGCAGGUUCUCUGCCUGGUGCUGACGAGGAGCCUUUGACAGCAGGAAGGUUGGCAGCGUCCGUACCUGAACCGUGGAGUACACACCUGCUUCUAGUCUCAGUUGAAGGACGGGUCGCCUAGCUCAGCGUCUAACAAACCCCACAACCGGCGGCCCGGUCGCUAUGGCGCUGCUGUUGCUAGCAGAGCCACCAGGUCUGUGUGAAGCCUUAGGUGCCUGCUUGGAGCAGUAUUUUGGUCUGCUCACCUGGAAGAAGCAGCGAGGCCUAAAAUAAGACUUUGUUGCGGCUACAUGGGUAAGCUGCGACCCCACGUGUCUUUGCCUUGCUUUGCUGCCUCAUGUCGUAAGAGCGACUUGGGAAUAAAAACCGCUUACGGGGGUGCUUAAGGGAGGAUCUGCGUUCUGCCUG